CGGCCACUUCCGCGUUCCCCCGAACUCGCCGAGCGCGGCCCCGCCCCUGCUCUCUACUGCGCAGGCGCGGUAGCAUUGCGCUUGCGCACAGACACAGCUGUCACACGUCCCUCUGCGCACGUGAGUGGCACUGGGCCUGUGGAGGAAAGCAGACACCACAAUGUAGUAAAACACUGCAACAUCAUCCUGCUACGCUGAGUAAACAUUUGGCUUUGAGUGAAAACAUCCCCUAGGGGCUGCACCCUGAUGAGCUCGACCGCUGAUACGCUGGAAAAGCACUGGUUUGUAGUUACAAAAAACAAGGAUCCAACCCUGGAAUACAAAUCAAAAUAGUUGAAGACCAAGGCACAGGCUAAAAUCUCCAAUACCAGAAACUUUCCAGGAUCAUAGCAGCUAGAGACGCCGAAAGCCUAUUAUAUCAUCAAGGCAUUUCCCUGCCAAUACAGUACAGUUCCCUGACGCAGGAGGUAUCAAAGAGACAAGGUGGGUAUGGUAAUACAUGUUAUUGGACCAACAUUGCAUACGGGUAUCAGAUACUUAACUGAUACCAUCUGUGGCUGUGCCUGCCUCUUCUUGUCUCCUUCAUAUUCCAAGUGGGAAUACUCUUGGGGCUGAUGGGACAGCUGAUGUUUCAGGAACUACAGUAAUGCCCGACCUUGGGCACCAAAAGCUAGGACGUCAAACCCUGUUCACCCCUCCUGGAUUUGAAUGUAGCCCAAGGACCCAGCGCCUCCCCGCUGCUGAAAUGUGGCAGAGAUUGACCCAAAAUAAAUGGGACCCUACUUCAAGCCUUACCGAUUCUGAAUGCCACUUUGGUCUAGUUUUAUUCCGAAAAAGAUGGCUCCCACAAUCAGGG
Molecule: long non-coding RNA, 856 nt
Organism: Mauremys reevesii (Reeves's turtle)
Lineage: Eukaryota; Metazoa; Chordata; Testudines; Geoemydidae
Exons: 3
Source: RefSeq, a predicted model, not a curated record